RNAcentral lists this ribosomal RNA (857 nucleotides) under uncultured Neocallimastigales. RNAcentral describes it as "partial large subunit ribosomal RNA". It matches the Rfam family "Eukaryotic large subunit ribosomal RNA", at positions 1 to 645 of the family's 3401-position model. Lineage: Eukaryota; Fungi; Neocallimastigomycota; Neocallimastigomycetes; Neocallimastigales. The record is from RNAcentral.
GUACACGCUGUGACUAGCAUAUCAAUAAGCGGAGGAAAAGUACUACCUACGCUUAGGAUGCUGACGAGACUGUCGAUCUCAUCUAUACAUGACUCUGUGCAUAUCAAUAAGCGGAGGAAAAGAAACUAACAAGGAUUCCCCUAGUAACGGCGAGUGAAGCGGGAAGAGCUCAAAUUUGAAAUCUUAAAGGGUUUCCCUUUACGAAUUGUAGUUUAAAGAAGUGUUUUCUGUUGAGGUUUUGGUAAAAGUUCUUUGGAAUAGGACAUCAUAGAGGGUGAGAAUCCCGUAUUUGACCUUUACUUUCAACUUUGUGAUACACCUUUCAAAGAGUCGGAUUGUUUGGGAAUGCAGUCCAAAAUGGGUGGUAAAUUUCAUCUAAAGCUAAAUAUUGGCGAGAGACCGAUAGCGAACAAGUACCGUGAGGGAAAGAUGAAAAGAACUUUGAAAAGAGAGUUAAACAGUACGUGAAAUUGUCAAAAGGGAAGCGUUUGACACCAGUGUUGUUUUUCUGAAAAUCAAUUAAAGAACUGUUUAUGCUAAGUUGUUUAGACUUUAUCAGCUAUCUGUUUAGUUUUGAGCUUUUCUUUAAUGCACUUUUCAGUUAACAAGUCAACAUCAAUUUCUUUUGCUGUAAAAAAGCUUGAGGAAGGUGGCUUGAGAUUCGUCUUAAGUGUUUAUAGCCUCUUGCCUAUGCAGUCGGAGAGAUUGAGGUCUGCAGCGUAGAUCCUUCGGGGCUAAAUGCAUUUGUGCUAAGUUAUAGCAUUUUAUAGACAACUUGUUGACUAUGAUUUGUCUUGUAGCUUACUCGCUUAUGUUAUUUUACCUACGCUUAGGAUGUUGAAGUCAUCGUAUCGCGC